UGCCAGACUCCUACGGGAGGCAGCAGUGGGGAAUAUUGCACAAUGGGGGAAACCCUGAUGCAGCGACGCCGCGUGAGUGAGGAAGUAUUUCGGUAUGUAAAGCUCUAUCAGCAGGGAAGAAAAUGACGGUACCUGACCAAGAAGCCCCGGCUAACUACGUGCCAGCAGCCGCGGUAAUACGUAGGGGGCAAGCGUUAUCCGGAUUUACUGGGUGUAAGGGGAGCGUAGGCGGCUGUGUAAGCCAGAAGUGAAAGCCCGGGGCUCAACUCCGGGACUGCUUUUGGAACUACAUGGCUUGAUUGCAGGAGAGGCAAGUGGAAUUCCUAGUGUAGCGGUGAAAUGCGUAGAUAUUAGGAGGAACACCAGUGGCGAAGGCGGCUUGCUGGACUGUAAAUGACGCUGAGGCUCGAAAGCGUGGGGAGCAAACAGGAUUAGAUACCCUGGUA
RNAcentral lists this ribosomal RNA (446 nucleotides) under uncultured bacterium. Its description in RNAcentral is "bacterial SSU rRNA". It matches the Rfam family "Bacterial small subunit ribosomal RNA", at positions 329 to 792 of the family's 1533-position model. The record is from RNAcentral.